GAAAGAUGCAGAUCCCUCUUUUAGACGAGCAGUGUUGACAACUCUCUUUGCUGUGGCAAAGUACUAUGAAGACAGCACUGAUCUCAGCAAGAGGUGCAACAUGCAGAGAAAUUCACAAUUCAGGGCAAUCACAUAUACCUACGGGGGAAGGAUGGCCAGCAACACAGGAGGGUGAUUUUUACUAAAGAGGAGAAGGAGGCCACUCUGACCGUGCUGACCGAGAUGCAUGGUGGCCAUUUCAGAGUGAAGCGCAUGAUUGCCAAAAUCAAUCAACCUACGCUU
Molecule: long non-coding RNA, 282 nt
Organism: Oncorhynchus gorbuscha (pink salmon)
Lineage: Eukaryota; Metazoa; Chordata; Actinopteri; Salmoniformes; Salmonidae
Exons: 3
Source: RefSeq, a predicted model, not a curated record